Stegodyphus mimosarum is the source of this 73-nucleotide non-coding RNA. Lineage: Eukaryota; Metazoa; Arthropoda; Arachnida; Araneae; Eresidae. The record is from Rfam.
GUCUUCGUGGUGUAGUGGUCAGCACGCUCGACGCGUAACCCAGAGGUACGUGGUUCGAUUCCCGGCGAAGGUA